GUUCUCUCCCCGCGCCGCCGCCGGGGGGCAGCGCGGCUCCACCCAGCCACGGGUGCGCCGCUGGGAGACGGCCGCGAGGGGGCGCCCGCGCGCUGUUGCCCGAUCCCGUCUUCGCAUGGGUCGCCCCGCCGCGUGCUGUGGGGCUCUGCAGGCAGCGGCAAAGCUCACGUACUUCUGCAAGAACGCAGUUUGUUUUUUAGACGGAAUGCAGUUGAAGAAAACAAAAAACUGUAUGCAAUUUAUGAUACAAGGCAGAGCACAGCAUAUGAAACUGUCCAAGCGCAGAGCAUUCCCUUAGCCCUGAUGCUGAGCAUCCACUGCCCAGCAUCCUGCUGUCACUCCAGUCUUCUGCUUCUGCUGAGAUACUGUUGAGAGGAAAAUAAGAAAGUUGAGCUUUCUGCAAAGAAAAAAACAAACAAACAAGCAAAAAAAAAACCCUACUGUGUUUCUGUUGAAGAGUGUUUUGGCAAAAAUGGCCAUCAACUUUUGAUUAAAUAAAGGAAGAAGUCAGGCCUGGGGAAAAAAUAAA
RNAcentral lists this long non-coding RNA (529 nucleotides) under Phasianus colchicus (ring-necked pheasant). Its description in RNAcentral is "lncRNA (ENSPCLG00000018268.1)". The record is from RNAcentral. Lineage: Eukaryota; Metazoa; Chordata; Aves; Galliformes; Phasianidae.